RNAcentral lists this ribosomal RNA (32 nucleotides) under Conardia compacta. RNAcentral describes it as "partial 25S ribosomal RNA". Lineage: Eukaryota; Viridiplantae; Streptophyta; Bryopsida; Hypnales; Amblystegiaceae. The record is from RNAcentral.
CAGACCUCUAAUUGGAAAAGACUACCCGCUGA